Non-coding RNA from Urocitellus parryii (Arctic ground squirrel), 572 nucleotides. The record is from RefSeq and is a predicted model, not a curated record. Lineage: Eukaryota; Metazoa; Chordata; Mammalia; Rodentia; Sciuridae.
CCGUGCGGCGCCCGGAACCGUCUGCCUUGAGCGGCAGCGCCUCCCGGUCACUACAACAACGGCGGCCCAAUCAAACCCCGCGCUCCAGGCGUGGCCAGACGAGCCCCGAGACUCUGUCCGCGCCGAGGACUGCGGGCCCCCUGUCGCCGGGCGGGCCGCUCCGGGACCGAGUGCUGCCACACACUAAAGCCAACGUUUAUUAGCCAACCACGUUUAUUAACGCCAGCGUUCUCCCGGGUUUGAUGCUAGGAAGGGGAUAGUAACCAGGUCCGGAAUGAGAGCGACCGAAAAAGGAAAGGGGCUGCGAGCCUUCUAUCGAUGCAAUCAGUGUUCUAUUACACGUUAAAGAGACCGCGCGCGCCCACGGGUUUCCAACUCGUCCCCUACAGCUUGUUAUGACAGGAGAGGGAGCUUUGAUAUGAAGAGGAGCAGCUUGCUAGUGCCCUACGAGAGAUACCGAAACCGGACACCUGUGGUGUUCAUCCAUUUUAGUGUUUUCCUGCUGUUUGUGUCUAUUCUCAUCUGCUCGUUUGUGUAUGUUUAGAAUAAUAAAAUUACACAUAUUUAAAGUC